This 1727-nucleotide long non-coding RNA is filed under the name Pocillopora damicornis (cauliflower coral). RNAcentral describes it as "uncharacterized LOC113675006". The record is from RNAcentral. Lineage: Eukaryota; Metazoa; Cnidaria; Anthozoa; Scleractinia; Pocilloporidae.
GUUAUAUUUGCUUGUCUUAUCUUAAGCAUAAUACGGGUGACUACAACGAAAGCACUGAUAUAGUUCCGUUUCCUGAAAGGUUCAGGAAAAUGUGUCGAUGAGGUGUUAAAUAAUCCAAGCGAAAUGUCACACCUCUUGAUGAUUCUAUACAACAAUGUAGAUAAUUGGCUUCCAGAGUCUGCUCAGACCUUCCUGGCCAAUCAAUUCAUGCCUUUACUUUUAUUUCACUUAAUUGCGUUCAGAGUCAGCAGGUAGAGCAAAGCCUGUGCAUUAAUUGGAAGUGAUGAACUCAUAUUGAUCGCUGAAAAUUCUUUAGCAAAAAUAGCCUUUUAAAUAUAACCGCGUGAACUAAUAUAAUUAACGUAUAAGCGGUGAAUAUAGAUAGUACAAAAGACUUCAGGUCAAUGUCACAACGAGUUGGUGAAAUAAUUGUUCGUAUUUUCUAAAGAACAUACGUAGAGUAAUUACACGUGUAAUACAUGUCAACCAAUAUUUAAGACUUCACGAAAUAAUAAUGUGGGAAAAAUACGUAAGCAGCGGUGCAGAUGUGGUAAAAUUUUACUUCGUGCUAAAUUAUUAGGAGCAUUCGUCUCACGAUAUAAAGAUUUUUACUGGCAAUAAAGCUUUCAAUACUUUUUUACUUUCAAUUUUUAAUCGCAUUUCUCUCAUCCGUUAGGAGCUAAAGGUAAAUUUAGAUCUCAUCCUCGUUUACAUCUUGACAGAAAAGCAGUGACAGUAUUUUGAAAAGUAUACCACAAUUCCGAGUUGGCAACUCUAAGAACUACCUCGUGUUGAUCAGAUCUUUCUCUAUCAGAAUCAAGUGUCAGACCUUUCCUGAGGUGAUGGGUGAACGAAACUUGUUUUUUUCGAUAUCUGCUCCCAGAGUGAGACCAGUUGUAACUGUCAGCAGGUGCCAGCAAGUAGAAUUGAACAAAAAAAAUUGGUCCGAUUUUCCCCGAAUUGUGCGUUUCUGACGCGAUUUGAGGCUUAUCAUGCAAAAUUGCAUCAUUGCGUAUUAUGUUAAAGGUCUUUUACUUUAUGGUAUUUGGCAGAAAAAAGAAAUAGAAAGAAGAAAAAAUAAAUUUUCGAAGCAAAAUAAUUAAAUCGAAGUAUGUCACCGUAAGGUGUCGAACAGGCGACCUCAACUUUCGCGCCAACUUUCUAGUGACUGGCGUGGCUCGUGAGGUAUUACUUGAAAAGGUCUUACUUAGUUGAUUUAUAUGUCCGUUAACAUUGAGCUUUACCAGCCAUAUGCCAGAGUUGAUUUUUGACAAUCGAAAAGUUUGUCAAUUAUCAACUCCUAGGUGUAACUAAAAGUGAUGUUACUUCGUUACUGACAAACCCGUUGACAUGGAGUUUCACAAACUAUAUGCCAGAGUAGAUAAUUGACACAAAAAACAACAAACCAGUCAUUCUUGGUCAGUAAAGCUCAGAGAGUAAGGGAAUAAGAGAAACGUACUUGUGCCUAGUCUUUAAUAAGUACAGGAAGCAGCUCAUAACCAGUGCUUGUUAUUUUAUUAUUUUUCUAGCUACACCCACGACAGUGCAAAUUGAAUCUGAAUAAAUAAUUUGGAAAUAGAGGCUAUAAUAUAUUCCAGAACAAAGCUAACCAAUAAACAAAUCACGAGUCAACUGCAGGUUAAAAAACUAUCUAUAUGAUCUAGCUUUCAUUGACCCCCUCAAAGAAUUAUCAACCCGUUGAGAGAUUUUAACCAUAUGCAUCAAAA